Podarcis lilfordi (Lilford's wall lizard) is the source of this 69-nucleotide non-coding RNA. Lineage: Eukaryota; Metazoa; Chordata; Lepidosauria; Squamata; Lacertidae. The record is from the annotation of a GenBank genome assembly.
GCUAUAGCUCAGUGGUAGAACAUCUGUUUUGCAUACAGAAGGCCACAGGUUUGAGCCCCAGCAACUCCA